RNAcentral lists this ribosomal RNA (253 nucleotides) under uncultured bacterium. RNAcentral describes it as "partial 16S ribosomal RNA". It matches the Rfam family "Bacterial small subunit ribosomal RNA", at positions 524 to 776 of the family's 1533-position model. The record is from RNAcentral.
UACGAGGGGCCCGAGCGUUAAUCGGAAUCACUGGGCUUAAAGGGUGCGCAGGCGGGCCUGCAGGCGUCUUGUGAAAUCCCCCGGCUCAACCGGGGAAUUGCAGGGCGAACCGCAGGUCUUGAGGAAGGCAGAGGCGGGUGGAACCAUAGGUGGAGCGGUGGAAUGCGUAGAGAUCUAUGGGAACGCCGAAGGUGAAGACAGCCCGCUGGGCCUUUCCUGACGCUCAGGCACGAAAGCGUGGGGAGCAAACAGG